CUUGCUCCUAGAGGCAGUGUGGGCGUGGCUGCCGUGUCACACAUGCGUCAGCAGGUGGCAGAGAGGCGAGAGGGUAUGUCUAUGCUCAGUGUUCUAACCUGUGAACAUCUGAAUGGUCAGUAGCCUAACAUU
Molecule: small nucleolar RNA, 132 nt
Organism: Mastomys coucha (southern multimammate mouse)
Lineage: Eukaryota; Metazoa; Chordata; Mammalia; Rodentia; Muridae
Product: small nucleolar RNA SNORA17
Exons: 1
Source: RefSeq, a predicted model, not a curated record